RNAcentral lists this long non-coding RNA (462 nucleotides) under Manacus vitellinus (golden-collared manakin). RNAcentral's name for it is "lncRNA (ENSMVIG00005016043.1)". Lineage: Eukaryota; Metazoa; Chordata; Aves; Passeriformes; Pipridae. The record is from RNAcentral.
UCGUUGGCAUAGAAGAGAGAAAGCCGCCUUCUGCAGGGAACCCUGUCCCUGCAAAGGUACCCCCAGCAAGCCCAGCAGCCUGGACAUCCCUCCAGCUGCAUCCACGCUGGACACCGGACUGACCCCUUGAACAGGAUGGCGGCGUCACCCAUUCUCAGAGGAAGGGAAGGCCAGAGCUGCCACCAAGGAGGGAAGCAGAGCCCCGUGGCUGUGGGAAGGACUGACCCUUUGCAGGCUGACAACAUGGUAAGUGGGUGCAGCUGUUGGAACAGCCCAAACCCUUCCCAACUGUCACCUGGACCUGGAGGCCCUCUUUGGUUGAGGCUGCAAUCCCUUGGAUGAAGUUGUCCCUGUGGAUACAACUGGUACUUCAUGUUCCUAGGAAGGACCCUCCCCAGCUGGGCAAGCUUUGUGCAGCCCUGGUUUCUGUUGCACUCGGGGCAGCUCUUUCCCAUCCUGUCC